Molecule: long non-coding RNA, 732 nt
Filed under: Ananas comosus (pineapple)
Lineage: Eukaryota; Viridiplantae; Streptophyta; Magnoliopsida; Poales; Bromeliaceae
Description: long non-coding RNA (ACOM_LNC001945)
Source: RNAcentral
GAAUACCAUAAAGUAAAAUGAUACUUGCGACCACAUUCUCGGCUGCUGCCGCCUCCUCAGUCUGGGCCGCAUACAUGCGCCCGCUCGGGGGCUGCCGUGACCCCUCCAACUACCGCUGCACAGGUGGCCGCCCGGCCUACUGGUGUACAGAAGGUGUCCCCUAGCUGGGACCCGGUGAAGCUGGUGCAGAUGCCGAAGAUGGCGGGUGCUGGUGUUGGACCCCUCGGACAGUCCGACUGGAAGUGGCCCUCCUGGCCGCACAGGUAGCACCUACCCCGACUGCGGGAACAUUGCUGUGGGUACUGAGGAUCGCCAUAGAUCACGCAGCGCGGAGCCUGGCGACGAUCGGGUCCUCCUCGCUGAGUAGACGAGCCACGUCCUCGCGACUGGCUCCGGCUCCUGGGAUGCCUCGGCGGCCUCCGUGAGUGCGUCUGGCUCGCACCCUCAGCCGCAAGCCUCUUGCCUUUCCCCUUCUCCAAGCCCUCGCGACGCUCCUGAAGGUCUGCCGCUCCAGCCUUCACGAUGAGUGCACGGUUCACAACCUCCCGGUAGGUUUGGAGGUUGGAGGACUGCACCAACCGAAAGAUCGAAGGUCGCAAUCCACGCUAAAAAAUGUGGGCCUUGUCCUCAUCAUCCCGUACCACAAAAAGUACACAGUGGAGUAGCCGGGAAAACUCUCUCUCGUACUUGGCCACGGUCCGCUCCUCCUGGCGCAAACUGCGCAAAUCCCGC